GAACGCUGGCGGCAGGCCUAACACAUGCAAGUCGAGCGGUAGAGAGGUGCUUGCAUCUCUUGAGAGCGGCGGACGGGUGAGUAAUGCCUAGGAAUCUGCCUAGUGGUGGGGAUAACGUUCGGAAACGGACGCUAAUACCGCAUACGUCCUACGGGAGAAAGCGGGGGAUCUUCGGACCUCGCGCCAUUAGAUGAGCCUAGGUCGGAUUAGCUAGUUGGUGAGGUAAUGGCUCACCAAGGCGACGAUCCGUAACUGGUCUGAGAGGAUGAUCAGUCACACUGGAACUGAGACACGGUCCAGACUCCUACGGGAGGCAGCAGUGGGGAAUAUUGGACAAUGGGCGAAAGCCUGAUCCAGCCAUGCCGCGUGUGUGAAGAAGGUCUUCGGAUUGUAAAGCACUUUAAGUUGGGAGGAAGGGUAGUAACCUAAUACGUUGCUACUUUGACGUUACCGACAGAAUAAGCACCGGCUAACUUCGUG
RNAcentral lists this ribosomal RNA (480 nucleotides) under uncultured bacterium. RNAcentral's name for it is "bacterial SSU rRNA". It matches the Rfam family "Bacterial small subunit ribosomal RNA", at positions 31 to 507 of the family's 1533-position model. The record is from RNAcentral.